This is a non-coding RNA of Lyophyllum atratum, 84 nucleotides long. The record is from the annotation of a GenBank genome assembly. Lineage: Eukaryota; Fungi; Basidiomycota; Agaricomycetes; Agaricales; Lyophyllaceae.
GACCCCUUAGCUCAGUGGUAGAGUGUGUGAUUCCAGUUACUUGGAGCUUCCACAAAGUCAUCCGUUCAAAUCGGGUAGGGGUCA